This is a long non-coding RNA of Notolabrus celidotus (New Zealand spotty), 1387 nucleotides long. RefSeq lists it as uncharacterized. The transcript is spliced from 3 exons. Lineage: Eukaryota; Metazoa; Chordata; Actinopteri; Labriformes; Labridae. The record is from RefSeq and is a predicted model, not a curated record.
AGGCAGUUUAUAGCCAAAUGAGAUAAAAGCAAAACAGAUUUCCUGUUACAUUUCCAGUGUAUGCACAUACAGUUCUUAACAAUUAUGGGCUCAUUUUCAUACUUCAGCCGACAGGUUACUCACACCAAUUCCUGAAAGAACACCAAUGGAUAUCACCCUGAUGAAAAUUUCACAACUGCAUUAAGCGUAUGAGAAGUUUGACUACAAAGUACUGCCAGUAACUGCAACACCAAGCCUGUGGGGGAUUUCUCAGAGUUUUCUUUGAAGACAUGGGUACCUCUGAGAACGUCGAGUAUGAAACAAACACUCAAACAGUGCUGAUCCUUUUGUUCUGCCUACUUGGCUUACUCUUAUUGCUCCUCUUAGUGUACAAGAAGUUGAACAGAGAUGCCAAUGGAGAAUAUACCAUCAAUAACAUGGUGUAUAAAGAAGGUGGAGUCAGGGACCGGGUGAGAGGUGUAGCAUUAGCUCUGGAGACACGUCUCGGGGUCCAGUUGUGGCCUCGCAAUGAUACUGAUGAAGAUGGAGAAGAAAUGCAGGACGUCCAUGAUGAGGAAAGAGGGGUAGAGGAGGGUAGUUGCAAGGGGAGUGAUAGCUAUGAAGAAUACCAGGAAGAGAACGGGGAGGAAGAGGGAGGCGAUGACACUUCAGAUGAUAACUCAAAUUCUGAGAAUUCUGAGGCAGGAGAAACUACCAGGCUAACAGAUCAACCAGUGGCAACGAGGGAGGAAAGGGAGGAUAAGGAGGUGAAAGGUGAAGCAAGUGGAGGGGCUGGGUUGCUGAUAGAUCUAACGCAGUUCUCUGGGGGUGCAACCUGGUCUGAAGACGGUGUCUGCAAAGACAGUGAUGUGACUGCACUGUGAGAGAAGCUGAACACAACAGGAAAAAGGAGCGAAGCUUUUGUUAUUGAGGGGGCCGUAAUUUAGAAAUACUGAGGUCAGGAUUUCAAGUACCAAAACCAAAUGCUGCCCAAUACUGCCUUUGUACUGAAUGCAAUGUUUUACAUAGCUUAAGGGCAUUCAGACUGCCUGAGAACUCUCAAGUAGCCAAAAUACACCCAUUAUUUGUUUUUGUUUUUUUCAUUACAAGGGCUGCAAAUGCACCACAAAUUCACAGUAAAAAAAACAGAAGACAAGGUAUCAUGUCCUCAAGUGGUAACUUUAAAAACUCACCUUGAAGUGACUGUCUUUAGAGGAAUCAGGAUUAAAAGACAAUUGAUGACUGAUGUUGUAAUUAUGCUGGAUUACACUGUAUUGGAUAUUGACUGUAUAAGCAUUUGCUUUGUUUUUGACUUGUUGCUUUAGCAUAUCACUUGCUGUAAAUUGCGGACUGCAUUUAUUUUUUAUUGUUUUUAAUGUUUUGGCUAAUAAACGUGAAAAUGAAUCAA